GUAGUGGGAGUCGAAAGAGCUGGAAAAGUCACAGUAGAUAUGGGAGAUUUGUGAGCAGCGUCUGGGGAAGUGGAACCCUAGGAGCAAAUCAUCACCACCACCGUCAUCGUCACUGCCGCGGCGAUCGCGAAGCUCUGUGUGAAGAGACAGCGGAGAAACAUGAACGAGCUCAUGCGGGAGCGAGAGCACUAGAUGGCAGCAUAGGACAUCUAUUGGGCCGUCUCUCUCCACAGGCUGCUGGAAUUUUGACAGAUACAAAACGAGACACAAAUCUGGCCUCUUCCUUCUUACUCGUCACCUAUAAAAUGGGCCUCUUAGGCCCGAACAAUCAGCCUGCAGGUCUGGGCUCAGUACACACUGUCAUCUUGUUCUCUUUAGUUGGAGCUGAUUCAUUUUCUUGGUUAGAGCAGGCUGCUGUCUGA
RNAcentral lists this long non-coding RNA (422 nucleotides) under Fukomys damarensis (Damara mole-rat). RNAcentral describes it as "lncRNA (ENSFDAG00000032328.1)". The record is from RNAcentral. Lineage: Eukaryota; Metazoa; Chordata; Mammalia; Rodentia; Bathyergidae.